Oryza nivara is the source of this 195-nucleotide non-coding RNA. NCBI's taxonomy places the organism in Eukaryota, Viridiplantae, Streptophyta, Magnoliopsida, Poales, Poaceae. The record is from Rfam.
UUUAAGUAUAUAGUUGUGAUUUCUAUGUCCAACCUUUAAUCGUCUAUUUUGUUUAUUUUUUUAUGGUUUAUAUUUUUAUUAUUAUUAGAUGAUAAAGCAUGAAUAAUAUUUUAUACAUGACUUAUUUUUUUUUUAAAAAAAUAAACUUUUUAAAUAAGGCAAACGGUUAAACGUUGAUCCACAACUACACUUAGG